UACAGAGGGUGCGAGCGUUAAUCGGAAUUACUGGGCGUAAAGCGCACGUAGUCGGCUUUGCAUGUCGGGUGUGAAAUCCCCGGGCUCAACCUGGGAACUGCAUCCGAGACUGCAUUGCUAGAGUAUGGGAGAGGGAAGCGGAAUUUCUGGUGUAGCGGUGAAAUGCAUUGAGAUCAGAAAGAACACCAACGGCGAAAGCACUCUGCUGGGCCGACACUGACACUGAGAGACGAAAGCGAGGGGAGCAAAUGGG
RNAcentral lists this ribosomal RNA (253 nucleotides) under uncultured bacterium. RNAcentral's name for it is "partial 16S ribosomal RNA". It matches the Rfam family "Bacterial small subunit ribosomal RNA", at positions 524 to 776 of the family's 1533-position model. The record is from RNAcentral.